CGACGAGAACCCCUCAGCGCGGAACGGAUGAAAAUUUCCACAGGGCGGCUACAAACCAGGUGCACGCACCUGAAAUGUCAGAUACCACAAACUGACAUAACGUGAAUAUGGAAGUUUGUCAGUGACGAUUACGUGGCAAAUUGUGGUAAAGUAUCUACAGAAGAGGACUGAAAAAGAAAUCUCGCUAUUUUACCCAAAGUAUUCGGAAGGUGCUAGUUUGCCUAAAUUAUCUUAACUGAAUUUAAAACUACCUAAAAGUAAGUGUAAAACCUUAAACCUAUUAUUUGUCACUUAUCUAAUUUGAAUUCAUUAAUCUAGCUACACGAAUACAUACUACAAACUAUUUUCAUUAAAACUAGAGGAAUAGCAAGGAGAUACUGUUAAAAUUGUAAGUAAAAUCUAUUAACCUAAUGAAUUAAAAACUUAAAAAAUAAAUUAUUUACAGCUAAAGCUGUCCCAAGCAACCUCGAGUUUUUCUAAGGGACUGCUAAAAGAAAACAGUGGCAACAUCCUUUAGAAUUUUAACACCGCGAACAAUGGCGGAUAAUGGGAAUGAUUCGCAGGCUCCGCGAAAUUGUGCAUCAUGCGCUAUGCCCGACGAACACGACGACAUGGUGGCUUGUGACGCCUGUCAUGAAUGGCAUCAUUAUUCCUGUGUAAAAGUCGACGCUACUGUUCAGGAUCGGGGAUGGAAAUGUGCAUCCUGCGUACUCCCCAAAAAAGCAAUCACCAAUCAACAAGCUCUCGAAUCUGACGCUAUGGAAUCGGAUAAAAGAGGUGCAAAACCAAAAGAACCGGUAGUGCGCCCAGAGAAUCUUAUCGUUCCUUCGAGAAAAGUGGGAGCGAAAUCGUCUACCGGAGGUAGCAAGGUUAGUCGAAAGUCGAAGAAGGGCGAGCCAAGUACAACAUCGAGCGCUCGAAUUCGACUGCAACUUGAGCUGAAAGCCAUAGAGGAGCAGCAGAAGAUACGAGAAGAAGAAUUGGCAGCGGAAAAGGAGCUUCAGGACCUCGAACGAAAGCUUGAGGAAGAAUUGCGGGAGAAAGAAUUAGCGAUCGAGGCGAAAAGGAUCGACGAAGCGAAAGCCGCUUUGAAGAAGAAAAUGGAACUGGAGCGCGAAUAUAAGAAGCAGCAGAUGGCAAUCCGAAGACAGUCUGAGGAGGAGAAGGUGAAGUUGAUCCGUCAGGCUUCCGAGUACGGUAGCAGCCGCGGCAGUUCGAUCGGCACGGAUAUCGCCUCGAAGGACAUUGUGGAGGACUGGCUAACUAAGACGGCGCAGCAGACAGCGGGACUAAAGAGGGAGUCUACGUCAGCAGUCGACCCUGUCAGUGGUCAAAAGCAGGUAUUCCCCGAAGAGAAAACUAACCCUCAAGCAGUAGCUAAUAUUAGGGCCGAUAGGAGUUUAGAUCACCCCCCUCUAACAACGCCAAAUAAAGUUGUCUCCUCUACAAUCCACCCUACACAUACUCUGAUUAGCCAGGCAACUAAAGAUCAGCAAGCUCACACAAAUAUGUUCUCUAAACGACAUUUUGUUGAUGAGUUCGAACAACUGAAAGUGGGGGGAGCUUCCGGAACCCAAGCCACUGCUGGUAAUCAAAAUCCGAAGCUGUUGUUUACUGGAAUCGACUGCGCUGAACGUUUUGAAAACCGCGAUCGUUCUAGUGCUCACGAAAGAGGGGAAAGUGAACGCCGUUUAAGUGAAAUGAUUCCAGGCGGUGACUAUGAAGAUCGAAGUGUCAGAGUGCAUAUAGCGGGUUCCUCUGGUGCCCAAAAUCGAAGUACGGUUGACGAACGGGAUGUUCAAGCAACAUUCGGCGAAGCAAGAGUUGAUAACAGGGGAGAACAGCCAAUUCCGAGGAGUGUUGCGUCUGGUAGCCAAGAACACUGCAACGGAGACUACGGGGACGGACCAACAAACCGUCAACUAGCUGCUAGACAGGUGAUGGGAAAGGAUUUACCGAUCUUUUCGGGCAACCCAGAGGAAUGGCCAAUCUGGAUUAGCAACUUUCGCCGGUCGACAUCUACCUGCGGAUUUUCCGAAGACGAAAACCUAAUUCGUCUUCAACGAUGCUUGAAGGGACCAGCGCUCGAAGCUGUUCGUAGCAGACUGCUUUGUCCUGCAAGUGUUCCACACGUGAUUCGUACUUUGGAGAUGCGGUACGGCCGACCGGAGACGCUUAUCCGCUCAAUGACGGAACGAGUUCGUCGGCUUCCUUCCUUAAGGACCAACGAUUUAGAUGGGAUCAUUGAAUUCGGCCUGGUAGUGGACAACCUUGUGCAACACCUGAAGAAUGCUGGACAACAGACCCAUCUAACCAACCCAUCAUUGCUGCAUGACCUAGUUGGAAAAUUGCCAGUUGACUACAAGCUUAAAUGGUCAGCAUACAAGAGCAUGCGGCUUGACGUAGAUCUGAGCACAUUUGGACAGUUCAUGUCAACGUUGGUCGAGCUUGCAUAUGACGUAGCAGAUGAUUUCCCCUAUAUCGAGAAGGUUCCGAAACAAUCCCAGAGGAAUAAGGAGCGAAGCUUUGUGCAGACACACAUGGAAUCCGAUACGCCAUCGAGAAGCGAACUGGCUAGUAGCAGUAAUUCAGUCACCCGGAUUCCGAAGAAACCAUGCGUAGUAUGCCAUACGGAAGGACAUCGAGUAGCGGAAUGUAGUCGGUUCAAAGCGAUGGACAUUAGUGGAAGAUUAAACGUGGUUCAGCAAAGCGGUGUAUGCCGAUCGUGUUUGAAUUUCCAUGGCAGAUGGCCGUGUAAAACCGCAAAGGAAUGUGGUGUCAACGAUUGCCGGUUAAAACAUCAUCAACUGUUGCAUUCACCGUCUACAGCUAUUGACACAGCGUUCUCAACGAGUCAUCUGAGCGAAUCGAUUGCGAGUGCUGGACCUCUGUUUAGAAUUAUUCCGGUAACGUUGUAUGGAAAGGACUGCGAGGUAAACGUUUACGCUUUCGUUGAUGAAGGAUCGAAGAUUACGCUUUUGGAGGACGCCGUUGCUGAUCAACUUGGCCUUGUUGGACCCACAGAACCUUUGAAUUUACAAUGGACUGGGAAUAUAAAGCGUAGUGAACCCAAUUCAAGACGGAUCAGUGCUGAGAUUUCCGCAAAAGGAUCGUCGAGGCAGUACCAAUUGACCAACGCUCGUACUGUAGGUGGAUUACUACUACCGUCACAGACGGUAUGUUACGAAGAAAUGUGCAGCCGUUACCCACAUCUUCGAGGUCUACCAAUCCAAAGCUACGAAAAGGUUUCACCAAAACUCUUGAUUGGUCUUGACAACUUGAAGCUCACCGUACCGUUGAAAAUCCGAGAAGGAAGAUGGGUAGAGCCGAUUGCCGCUAAGAGCCGCAUCGGGUGGAGCAUCUACGGAUGCGCAACGACGCUAGCAACGACGGUCGUGUGUGGGCUUCAUUUUGGAGGAUGGACCGAUCAAGAGCAAGACCUCAAUAAGUUGGUUCGUGACUACAUCUCACUGGACAACACUGGCGUAACGCAUCCUACAACGCACUUGGAAUCCAAGGAAGACCAACGGGCGAAAAUGUUGCUGCAGACGACUACUAGAAGAAUCGGUAACGCAUUCGAGACGGGGCUACUGUGGAAAGUCGACGAGGUACGAUUCCCGAACAGUUAUGGAAUGGCGUACAAGCGGAUGUGUUCUUUGGAAAAGCGGCUGAAUAAAGAAUCAACGCUGUACGAACGUGUCAGACAGCAGGUGCGUGACUACGAAUCGAAGCAGUAUGCACACAAAGCAACUUAUCACGAGCUGUCUACUACCGGUGCUGAUCAGUGCUGGUACUUGCCGUUGGGGAUAGUGCUAAACCCGAAGAAGCCGAAUAAGCUGAGGAUGAUUUGGGACGCUGCUGCCAAAGUUGACGGUGUCUCGCUAAACUCUGCACUGCUGAAAGGGCCAGAUUACCUGACAUCUCUUCCAGCGGUUAUUGGAAAGUUCCGGCUGUAUCAGUUUGCCCUAACUGGCGACAUCAGGGAAAUGUUCCAUCGGUUUUUCAUCCGUCCACAAGAUCGACAGUUCCAGAGAUUCCUAUUCCGAGAUCACCCACAAGAAGAGCCCAUUACGUACGUCAUGGAUGUAGCCAUCUUCGGAGCUGCAUGUUCACCGAGCAGCGCUCAAUACAUAAAAAAUUUGAACGCUAAGGACUAUGAAGCAGAGUAUCCACGGGCAGUAGAAGCUAUCGUUGAUCGUCACUACGUGGACGAUUACCUGGAUAGCUUUGGAACAAUCGAAGAAGCGGUGCAGAUAGGAAGGCAGGUGAAAACUAUACAUGCUGCGGGGGGUUUCGAAAUCCGAAACUUCCUAUCCAACGAAACUACUAUAGCAGCACAGGUUGGCGAUGAAUCACCAGAAGCAGAGAAGAACAUUUGUGUGGAGAAAGAUGAGCAGAUUGAAUCCGUACUUGGCAUGAAGUGGAUUCCGAGCAGCGAUACCUUCACGUUUACAGUUUCCCUUCGAGACAAUUUACUUCAUGUUCUCGAACAAUCGCACGUGCCAACAAAACGAGAAGUUUUGCGCACUGUUAUGAGCUUCUUUGAUCCACUGGGAUUGAUUUCAUUCUUCCUGAUCCAUGGGCGCACCAUGAUGCAGGACAUAUGGGCGACCGGAAUACAGUGGGAUGACCCGAUUACCGAAGAGAUACUAAUGCAGUGGAAGCAGUGGAUUGGACUUAUCCCAAAGCUGAGCACUCUUCGUGUACCCCGUUGCUACCUCAAGGGAGCGCGAGAGAACAGCUACUCCAUGUUGCAGAUUCACACAUUUGUCGAUGCAAGCCAGUCUGCGUACUCAUGCGCAGUGUAUUUUCGAGUAGAUACACCAGAAGGUCCAGCCGUUAGCCUUGUAGCAGCGAAAUCCAAAGUUGCUCCUCUGAAGAUGCUGACGAUACCUCGGCUCGAACUCCAAGCUGCAGUUCUGGGAUCUCGUCUGCUCAACAGUGUAUUAGCAAUGCACUCCCUCUCUGUGACGAAGCGUGUCCUGUGGUCCGACUCCAAUACCGUGCUCGCCUGGAUUCGGUCAGACCAGCGGCGAUACCAUCAAUAUGUGGGAUUCAGGAUUGGAGAAAUUCUUUCAAUGACGGAUGUUAGCGAGUGGCGUAAAGUACCUACAAAAGAUAAUGUUGCAGAUGACGCCACAAAAUGGGGAACUGGACCAGACAUUCGCUCGGAAAGCCGGUGGUUCCAAGGACCACCAUUCCUCAAACAACCGGAGGCAUUCUGGCCACGUGAAGCUGAACAGAUCAAUCCAACGGAGGAGGAGCUGAUCAAGGAGCAUAUGCCGUGUAAUCUUCACAACGAAACAGAGCUGCUGGUGGUAGACGCCACUAAAUUCAGUAAAUGGGAGAAACUGCACCGCACCAUGUCAUAUGUACACCGGUUCAUCCAGAAUAUCCAACGAUCAAGGCGAAACGAAGAACAAAAGCUGGGAGCUCUGACGCAGGACGAAAUGGUUGUAGCCGAGAGAUCGUUGUGGAUACAAGCACAAGCAGAAUCCUUCGGCCCAGAAGUACAGUUGCUGAAGAAGACGAAAGGGAGAUCAGAAGAUAUCCAUGAAGUCCUACCGAAAUCGAGCCCACUGUACAAGAUGUGUCCGUUCAUUGACGACACGGGAGUGAUGCGGAAACGAAGUCGCUUGCAAAAUGCCGACUGGAUGGCGUUUCACACUAAGUAUCCGGUGAUACUUCCUCGUCAAAAUCGCAUAUCGUUUCUUCUUGUCGAUUAUUACCACCGUCGCCUACAACACCGUAACCGCGAAACGGUAGUCAAUGAGAUGCGGCAGCUCUACGAGAUUCCACGACUAAGGUCAGUGGUAUUUAAGGUCGCGGAUUCCUGUAUGACUUGCCGAAUUCGCAGAGCUGUUCCUAAUCCCCCGCCUAUGGCACCGCUACCCAAGGUUCGUGUCACGCCCUAUGUCCGACCGUUUACAUUCGUGGGUGUCGACUACUUUGGUCCAGUGUUAGUGAAAGUUGGGCGCAGCAACGUUAAGCGGUGGAUUGCACUUUUCACUUGCUUGACGAUUCGCGCGGUGCACCUUGAAGUUGUUCACAGUAUGUCCAAGGAAUCAUGCGUAAUGGCAGUGAGAAGGUUCGUGUCGCGACGUGGAGCACCGGUGGAAAUAUUCAGUGACAAUGGCACUAACUUUCUUGGCGCAAGUAAUCAACUGAAGCGAGAAGCUGAAGAGCUGGUUCAUCACCUAGCGUCUACAUUUACGAACACCACGACCCGUUGGUCGUUCAACCCGCCUGGAGCUCCUCACAUGGGAGGAGCUUGGGAAAGAAUGGUUCGAUCGGUAAAGGUCUCAAUCGAAGGUAUACUGGAGAAUCAGAGACGACCGGACGAUGAGAUUUUGGAAACAGUGGUGAUCGAGGCAGAGGCUAUGAUUAAUUCGCGGCCGUUGACCUACAUACCGCUCGAGUCUGCUGAACAGGAAUCCCUAACUCCGAAUCACUUCUUACUGGGAAGCUCUAGCGGAGUGAAACAAAAGCCAGUGCUACCUACAGAAUAUCACGCUACGCUAAGAAACGGUUGGAAACUCGCCCAGUACCUGUCGGAUGGGAUUUGGAGGAGAUGGAUCAGGGAGUAUUUGCCAGUGAUAUCCAGACGGUCGAAGUGGUUCGAAGAAGUGAAAGAGGUAGCUGAAGGAGAUCUAGUACUGAUCGUCGAUGGAGCGGUACGGAAUCAGUGGAUAAGGGGUAUAAUAGAGAAAGUGGUACAAGGCAGAGAUGGUCGAGUGCGGCAAGCAUGGGUGCGAACAGCGAAUGGUUUAUUACGGAGACCAGCAGUGAAGUUGGCGUUACUCGACGUCGUAGAUGGAGGUAAACCGGAAGCUGACAACGACCAGGAUAGUUUACGGGUGGGGGGAUGUGACGACGAGAACCCCUCAGCGCGGAACGGAUGAAAAUUUCCACAGGGCGGCUACAAACCAGGUGCACGCACCUGAAAUGUCAGAUACCACAAACUGACAUAACGUGAAUAUGGAAGUUUGUCAGUGACGAUUACGUGGCAAAUUGUGGUAAAGUAUCUACAGAAGAGGACUGAAAAAGAAAUCUCGCUAUUUUACCCAAAGUAUUCGGAAGGUGCUAGUUUGCCUAAAUUAUCUUAACUGAAUUUAAAACUACCUAAAACUACACGAAUACAUACUACAAACUAUUUUCAUUAAAACUAGAGGAAUAGCAAGGAGAUACUGUUAAAAUUGUAAGUAAAAUCUAUUAACCUAAUGAAUUAAAAACUUAAAAAAUAAAUUAUUUACAGCUAAAGCUGUCCCAAGCAACCUCGAGUUUUUCUAAGGGACUGCUAAAAGAAAACAGUGGCAACAAUC
This is an RNA transcript of Aedes albopictus (Asian tiger mosquito), 7322 nucleotides long. RefSeq lists it as uncharacterized. The transcript has 2 exons. The record is from RefSeq and is a predicted model, not a curated record. Lineage: Eukaryota; Metazoa; Arthropoda; Insecta; Diptera; Culicidae.